UACGUAGGGUGCGAGCGUUAAUCGGAAUUACUGGGCGUAAAGGGUGCGCAGGUGGUUUAUCAAGCUGGAUGUGAAAUCCCCGGGCUUAACCUGGGGCUUGCAUAUAGGACUGAUAGACUAGAGUAUAGGAGAGGGGGGUAGAAUUCCACGUGUAGCAGUGAAAUGCGUAGAGAUGUGGAGGAAUACCGAUGGCGAAGGCAGCCCCCUGGACUGAUACUGACACUGAGGCACGAAAGCGUGGGGAGCGAACAGG
This 253-nucleotide ribosomal RNA is filed under the name uncultured bacterium. Its description in RNAcentral is "partial 16S ribosomal RNA". It matches the Rfam family "Bacterial small subunit ribosomal RNA", at positions 524 to 776 of the family's 1533-position model. The record is from RNAcentral.